CAGCCGCCGCGGGAAUACGUAGGGUGCAAGCGUUAAUCGGAAUUACUGGGCGUAAAGCGUGCGCAGGCGGUUAUAUAAGACAGAUGUGAAAUCCCCGGGCUCAACCUGGGAACUGCAUUUGUGACUGUAUAGCUAGAGUACGGCAGAGGGGGAUGGAAUUCCGCGUGUAGCAGUGAAAUGCGUAGAUAUGCGGAGGAACACCGAUGGCGAAGGCAAUCCCCUGGGCCUGUACUGACGCUCAUGCACGAAAGCGUGGGGAGCAAACAGGAUUAGAUACCCCUGUAUUCCCUGUCUCUUAUAC
RNAcentral lists this ribosomal RNA (301 nucleotides) under uncultured bacterium. RNAcentral's name for it is "partial 16S ribosomal RNA". It matches the Rfam family "Bacterial small subunit ribosomal RNA", at positions 509 to 807 of the family's 1533-position model. The record is from RNAcentral.